GAUCUGCUCAGUGAUGAAUAUUAAAUAGCUGCAGAAUUUUAACUGUACAAAGGUAGCAUAAUAAUUAGUUUAUUAAUUGUAAACUGGAAUGAAUGAUUUGUUAAGAUAUUCAUUGUUUCUUUAUAAAUAAUAAAAUUUUAAUUUUAAGUAAAAAUGCUUAAAUAUAAUAAUGGGACGAGAAGACCCUAUAGAUUUUAAUAUUAAAUUUAAAGUUAAUUGUUUAAAUUAUUUUAUUACUUAAAUUUAGUAUUUGAAUGGGGAAUUAUAAAAAUUAAAUAAUUUUUUAUUUAAGUUACAUUAAUUUGUGAAGUUAAAUUAAUAAUUUGUGGUUAAAUAAAAUAAAAAUACCUUAGGGAUAACAGCAUAAUAAUUUUUUUAAGAUCAAAUUUUAAGCAAUUGAUUGUGACCUCGAUGU
RNAcentral lists this ribosomal RNA (415 nucleotides) under Acanthinevania sp. DERV001. Its description in RNAcentral is "partial 16S ribosomal RNA". Lineage: Eukaryota; Metazoa; Arthropoda; Insecta; Hymenoptera; Evaniidae. The record is from RNAcentral.